AUGCACGCCUAUGAGCAGGCUACCCUGCACGCUGGUCUUCUACUACUUUCCCAGGCAUAUUACUUCCCUGUGAGAUGCUUCCAAGAGCUCUAUUCAGCUCCAUUGUAUUUUUCUUCUUUUUUUGAUUGCUUUUCCUUCUCUGUUUCUUUUUUAUAUGCAAGGCCAUACAUUUUUACCAUGCAUCCUUGCUCACACAGAAAAUUACUUCAAAAUACACAUGCUUCUAAAAAUGCACAUCCUUUUCAAAACUAUGUAUAUCUUAUUAUCAAAGAUUAUAAGGCAGAAUGUGUUUGCCCACGACUAAAACAAGUAAUACAUUGUACUUUUUUCAAAGCACACGUGGAAUUAGCGGGCUCCUUCAGGUAUUUCAAGGGAAAAACAGAAUCUGUUUAA
RNAcentral lists this ribosomal RNA (393 nucleotides) under Triticum aestivum (bread wheat). RNAcentral describes it as "partial small subunit ribosomal RNA". Lineage: Eukaryota; Viridiplantae; Streptophyta; Magnoliopsida; Poales; Poaceae. The record is from RNAcentral.